GACGAACCGAGCGAACGUUGUUCGGAAUCACUGGGCUUAAAGGGCGCGUAGGCGGGCGGCCGCGUCCGGGGUGAAAUCCUCCCGCCCAACGGGAGAACGGCCUCGGAUACGGGCGGCCUCGAGGGGGGUAGGGGCAGGCGGAACUGUGGGUGGAGCGGCGAAAUGCGUUGAGAUCCACAGGAACUCCGGUGGCGAAGGCGGCCUGCUGGACCCCUCCUGACGCUGAGGCGCGAAAGCCAGGGGAGCAAACAGG
RNAcentral lists this ribosomal RNA (253 nucleotides) under uncultured bacterium. Its description in RNAcentral is "partial 16S ribosomal RNA". It matches the Rfam family "Bacterial small subunit ribosomal RNA", at positions 524 to 776 of the family's 1533-position model. The record is from RNAcentral.